CCUACGGGAGGCAGCAGUGGGGAAUUUUGGACAAUGGGCGAAAGCCUGAUCCAGCAAUGCCGCGUGAGUGAAGAAGGCCUUCGGGUUGUAAAGCUCUUUUGUCAGGGAAGAAACGGUGAAAGCUAAUAUCUUUUGCUAAUGACGGUACCUGAAGAAUAAGCACCGGCUAACUACGUGCCAGCAGCCGCGGUAAUACGUAGGGUGCAAGCGUUAAUCGGAAUUACUGGGCGUAAAGCGUGCGCAGGCGGUUUUGUAAGUCUGAUGUGAAAUCCCCGGGCUCAACCUGGGAAUUGCAUUGGAGACUGCAAGGCUAGAAUCUGGCAGAGGGGGGUAGAAUUCCACGUGUAGCAGUGAAAUGCGUAGAUAUGUGGAGGAACACCGAUGGCGAAGGCAGCCCCCUGGGUCAAGAUUGACGCUCAUGCACGAAAGCGUGGGGAGCAAACAGGAUUAGAUACCCUGGUAGUCCACGCCCUAAACGAUGUCUACUAGUUGUCGGGUCUUAAUUGACUUGGUAACGCAGCUAACGCGUGAAGUAGACCGCCUGGGGAGUCGGUCGCAAGNUUAAAACNCAAAUGAAUUGACGGCUGAGAGNGCGAGCGACGACGAGGGAGGAGG
This 615-nucleotide ribosomal RNA is filed under the name uncultured bacterium. RNAcentral describes it as "bacterial SSU rRNA". It matches the Rfam family "Bacterial small subunit ribosomal RNA", at positions 338 to 947 of the family's 1533-position model. The record is from RNAcentral.